GUCGAGAAUCUUCCGCAAUGCGCGAAAGCGUGACGGAGCGACACCGCGUGAUGGAUGAAGUCCUUCGGGGCGUAAACAUCUUUUAUAAAGGAGGAAAUUUUUGACGUUACUUUAUGAAUAAGGGGCUCCCAAUCUCGUGCCAGCAGGAGCGUUAAUACGAGAGCCUCAAGCGUUAUCCGGAAUCAUUGGGCGUAAAGGGUGCGUAGGUGGUUUGAUUAGUCUCCCGUUAAAACUUCGAGCUUAACUCGAAAAGAGCGGGGGAAACGGUCAAACUAGAGUAUGUGAGAGGUGUGUGGAACUCAUGGUGUAGGGGUGAAAUCCGUUGAUAUCAUGGGGAACACCAAAAGCGAAGGCAGCACACUGGCACAUCACUGACACUGAGGCACGAAACCUAAGGUAGCGAAUGGGAUUAGAUACCCUAGUAGUCC
RNAcentral lists this ribosomal RNA (428 nucleotides) under uncultured bacterium. RNAcentral's name for it is "partial 16S ribosomal RNA". It matches the Rfam family "Bacterial small subunit ribosomal RNA", at positions 354 to 796 of the family's 1533-position model. The record is from RNAcentral.